Molecule: ribosomal RNA, 442 nt
Filed under: uncultured bacterium
Lineage: Bacteria
Description: partial 16S ribosomal RNA
Rfam family: Bacterial small subunit ribosomal RNA
Source: RNAcentral
CCUACGGGUGGCAGCAGUGGGGAAUAUUGGGCAAUGGGCGCAAGCCUGACCCAGCAACGCCGCGUGAAGGAAGAAGGCUUUCGGGUUGUAAACCUCUUUUAAGAGGGAAGAGAAGAAGUCGAUACCUCUUGAAUAAGCCACGGCUAACUACGUGCGAGCAGCCGCUGUAAUACGUAGGUGGCACGCGUUGUCCGGAUUUACUGGGUGUAGAGGGCGUGCAGCCGGGAAGAAAAGUCAGGUGUGAAAGCCUGCGGCUCAACCGCGGAACUGCAUUGGAAACUGUAUGUCUUGAGUACAGGAGAGGUGAGCGGAAUUCCUGGUGUAGCGGUGAAAUGCGUAGAUAUAAGGAAGAACACCAGUGGCGAAGGCGGAUGACUGGACUGCAACUGACGGUGAGGCGCGAAAGCGUGGGGAGCAAACAGGAUUAGAUACCCCUGUAGUC